This 250-nucleotide ribosomal RNA is filed under the name uncultured Georgenia sp. RNAcentral's name for it is "partial 16S ribosomal RNA". It matches the Rfam family "Bacterial small subunit ribosomal RNA", at positions 524 to 773 of the family's 1533-position model. Lineage: Bacteria; Bacillati; Actinomycetota; Actinomycetes; Allobogoriellales; Allobogoriellaceae. The record is from RNAcentral.
UACGUAGGGCGCAAGCGUUGUCCGGAAUUAUUGGGCGUAAAGAGCUCGUAGGCGGUUUGUCGCGUCUGCUGUGAAAACGCAAGGCUUAACCUUGCGCCUGCAGUGGGUACGGGCAGACUAGAGUGCGGUAGGGGAGACUGGAAUUCCUGGUGUAGCGGUGGAAUGCGCAGAUAUCAGGAGGAACACGGGUGGCGAAGGCGGGUCUCUGGGCCGUUACUGACGCUGAGGAGCGAAAGCAUGGGGAGCGAAC